Molecule: long non-coding RNA, 3679 nt
Filed under: Capsicum annuum
Lineage: Eukaryota; Viridiplantae; Streptophyta; Magnoliopsida; Solanales; Solanaceae
Description: long non-coding RNA (CANN_LNC016134)
Source: RNAcentral
CCAAUUCAUUAUCCCCAAAAACCUUCAUAGGUAUACACAAAUGACAUAAAUAUCUACAAAAGUUGCACAAAAGGGAUACAAUCUUUAGGGAAAGGAAAAAUAACAUGAGAAAAAGAAUAAUGUCCCGCGCAUUGGAUAAGAAAUACUAGUUCUUGAAUACUCUUCUAUCAGCCUUCGCCCUCUUAGCUUUAUCCACUUCUUGUCAUUGGCGAGAUUCGUUGAUGAUCAAGCAAUUUCUGUAUAGCUGUGCCCUAGAUGCAACCGUUCAAAUCGAUCAAUUUCUUACUUGGCUUGCUUUAUUUCUUCUCUUAAUUGGUGUAUGAUUGAGGCUCCUUACACGAAAGUAAGCAAAUCAAGCAUUCGCCCGACCCCCAAAGGAUAAUGGAUUGGAUUAAAUAAAUAGAUAUUUAUUCAACACAUAAAUAUGAUUCAUCUGUAAUUGACUCAGGGUCAAUAAACGUCGGGCAGGUUUUCAAAUGGGCCCAAUAUCCCCUCGGGUAUUGGGUCAUUCUAGGAUCGUACCUAAAAUAGAAUUUUGGUUUCGCUCUAUCCUAGGUGUCUAGAGUGGAUUUGAACCAAGUUCCUAAGCGGACAACUUGGACUUGGAAAUACGAACAACCAUCAGAUGUCUCACGUGCUAAUAAACUAUUGUAUUUGCAACACUUUAUUUGGAGUUGAACAGCAGGGGCCGGGACAUCCAUGAAACCCCAAAACAAUUUAAUAAUUCAUGGGGGAUUAUGCAAUGAGAUGCAAUAAUUAAAUUACGUAAAAUCAAAACAUAUAAAUACGUAAGAAAUUUAAACAAUUAGUCAAAAAAUGAAAUCAAACUUUGGUUAGAUCCUAGUUAAAUUCCCCAGUGGAGUCUUCAUUUCUGUUUUACAAAAAUUUUGAUUUUUGAAAGUCGCCACUUAAUUUAUUUGAAAAGGAAUUAAGACAACCUUUAUAAAGUACUUGAACGAUUCAAAACAAGAAAAUAGUCCAAGUUAGAGAUUCUAGGUAAGCGAUUCCUAUUAACAUUCUAGGAAGUUUUUAAGGCACCUAAAACGUCCACUAACUUGCGAUUAUCCGAACUGCUUGAAAGUAUCUUUUGACUAACUUCAAAAAGAUUGAUUGUUGAAAUAUGAUUGAUUUUAGGAAAAGACUUGUGUAAAAUAGAUUUGGACGACUUAGUAGGGAUUUUAACUAAGUCUAAAUAAACUAACAACAAAGCAUGAAAAAGGAAAAGGAAAAAAUUAAAAGACUUAUGCCAUUGGACCCAAACCAAUAAGUCCUAUCCUAAUAUAAUUGGGAUUUUGGCCCACUUGCACCUUUCCUAAUCUAAAUGUUGGGCCUUGGCCCGUAACCUGUCCUAAACUAUUUUUCUAACCCGUUGGCCUAAAAUCUGCUCCACCUGUAUUAAAUGUACAACUUUGGCUUCGAGGCCCAAAUGAAUGAAUAAUGCAAUGAAGAAAUAAGUAAAUAAUAAUAAAAGGACAACAAUAAAUGAAGAAAAAUAAGACUUUCGAGUCUCUUUACCACUUUAAAGAUGGAACUUUAACCCAUUUUUCUUCUUUCGACUUCUGGUAUUCAUAUGCCAUGAGAUUACAUUUUUGGGCCUUCGAAGUUGACUCAGGAUGGAUGAGCCUCAUUGGCCAACAUCGAUAAUGCCACAACGGGAUAGAGUCCAUUUGGACUCGAAUGCGGGUUUGUGCGAAGAAAAGGUACAAAUAUUUAAUACAUGCAUGUAUAUACAUAUGAUAAAUUAGCAACUAAUCAUGUUGAAAAUUUUAUGAUAUUAUAAAAUAUACUCACACACAAAUUAAAAAUAAAAACAAUGAUUCAUGAAAAAAAAGAUAAAGGUAAAAAUAGCAAAUUCUCAUGAUUUCGAGUAACUGAAGUUAAGCAAUAUUAUUUUAAGGCUACAUCAAAAUUUGGUAGAGUAAGGACAUGAAUUGGACACCUAAAAAUAUUAGUGAAUAAACAAGGGAGAGGGGUAGUUAACAAGUGAGAACACAAGCAAACAAAGAACAAGUAAAUUUGUAUGCCAAAAGAAUCUCAUAUCAUAAGAGUUAUUACCUUGAACAAACACGCAAUGGAUUAACUGUAGGUUAAUAAAACUUGAACAAAACCAUGAAUUUCAAUCACAACAAAUAAUAUUUAUACUACUAAUCCGAUGGGCGAAAGGACUACAAUAUGUUGUCUUGUGUUCUAUAUGAUCACCAAAGUAAAAAUUCAAUGAAAAGAAUCAACAAAAAAGCUGCAUUAGUCAAGAAGGUUUUCAAACUUUCUAUCCAAACUUUCAAUUAAGCGUUAAGAUUACACCAAAAUGGAACUUAUCAAACAAAAAGAACUGGUGAUAAUAAACAAAACUUAAGAUGUCUGAAUGAAAAUAAUUAGUUAAAUUUUGAUCCCAUCAAGAAACUAAAACUAAAAUCAGUAGUUGAUACGUGAAAACCAAAGAGGAAUAAAACCACAGAAUCUUUUAAAUAAUCAGGAUUAAGUAUUAAGAAAAGGAUCCAUUUAUAUGAAAACAAUAUUCAGAUAAAAUUUAAGACUACACAAGAUAUCGAAAUGUAUUAUUUUCCUUUUAUACAGCUAGGCUACAAGAACAUCAACACACUCAAACCAGGACCUCAAAAACAUUAUUACGAAGCCAAGAGAAUGUUAACAACAUUCAACGUCAAGAGAAAACAAAACAAUUAUGAGUGAAACAAAUCAAGAACAUACUAUGCAGAAUUUAGUCAAGAUGUAAUUUUUCAACCAAGUAGUUAAACAAAUCGUGAUAUAGAGCUCGAGUCAAUCAAUUUUCGAUCAAUAAGAUAUUUUACAUUCGAGCAGGACAAGACGAGGAAGAAAUCAUUUUUAAGAUUUUAUACUUUAGCAAGAUAAACAACACGAAAAGAUUCACUAAAAACACACAACGAGACAUAUUUUACAGCAACUUACAAACAACACAAAAAGAGAUUAUAACUAUACGAUUAUCGCAGCAAGAAUAUCAUCGCAACUAUACCUAUGGCCUUCGAGGCCUCUACAGCAAGCAAUCCCAGCAUACAACAACUAUGAUUACUAAACUAUAGAGAAAGGAUUAAGAAGAAAACAAUGGCGAAUUAAAAGUAAAGGAGUUUACCUUGUUCGAGGCAACAAAAUUGUACUCGAGCUGUUAUCGAAAUCUCCUCGCCACCACCGAAAGCCAAGAUUAAAUCCAAAACUAACUAAGAGAAAUUUCAAUUGUAAUUUCCUUUUCCUCGAAUAUUUUGAAGUUUAUUCCUCAAAGGCCCUUUUUCUUUUUUUUUUCUCCUUCCUCCUCCUUUUCAAUGAAAACAGCAAGAAUAUCUAUAGGUAAAGCUUUAGGAUCCAGUUUUUAUUCCUUUCGAGGUGGGAUGGGAAAAUGGAUAGAAAUUCGAGGAGAGGAUUUCAAAAUUUCAAAAUAGGAUUAAUAUCCACCAUCCACCUAUGUACGAAUCGGACAAUGGUAAGAUAUUAUACCAUUGAGAGAGACAGUUGGACAAUUUCUAGGCUCUUCUAGAAGCGGACAGCUCAUCAAUCGCACAUAAAUGAUGAUUUUAGGACUGCAUCGGUUGUCAAUGCAUGAUGUUAUGUUUAUCAUGGGUUCAGGUCGGCAGGUCUGGUGCGGGUCACCGUUUAUGGUGGGCGUUGGAACUAGUCAGUUCGGAGAUUACUGGUUGAAAUUGUCGUUAUU